AGGACGAACGCUGGCGGCGUGCUUAACACAUGCAAGUCGAGCGGUAAGGCCCUUUCGGGGGUACACGAGCGGCGAACGGGUGAGUAACACGUGAGCAAUCUGCCCUUCACUUCGGGAUAAGCCUCGGAAACGGGGUCUAAUACCGGAUAUGACUGCGCCAUGCAUGUGGUGUGGUGGAAGGUUCUGGCGGUGAGGGAUGAGCUCGCGGCCUAUCAGCUUGUUGGUGGGGUAAUGGCCUACCAAGGCUUCGACGGGUA
RNAcentral lists this ribosomal RNA (257 nucleotides) under uncultured soil bacterium. Its description in RNAcentral is "partial 16S ribosomal RNA". It matches the Rfam family "Bacterial small subunit ribosomal RNA", at positions 26 to 285 of the family's 1533-position model. The record is from RNAcentral.